UACGUAGGGUGCAAGCGUUGUCCGGAAUUAUUGGGCGUAAAGAGCUCGUAGGCGGCUUGUCGCGUCGACUGUGAAAUCCCUCGGCUCAACUGAGGAAUGGCACGGGAACUGCGGGGCUUGAGUUCGGGAGAGGGAAGCGGAAUUCCGGGGUGUGAGCGGGUGGAAAUGCGUAGAUAUCCGGAGGAACACCGGUGGCGAAGGCGGCUUCCUGGACCGGAUACUGACGCUGAGGCGCGAAAGCUAGGGGAGCAAACGGG
RNAcentral lists this ribosomal RNA (257 nucleotides) under uncultured bacterium. Its description in RNAcentral is "partial 16S ribosomal RNA". It matches the Rfam family "Bacterial small subunit ribosomal RNA", at positions 524 to 776 of the family's 1533-position model. The record is from RNAcentral.